UACGUAGGGAGCGAGCGUUGUCCGGAUUUAUUGGGCGUAAAGAGCUCGUAGGCGGUUUGGUAAGUCGGGUGUGAAAGCUCCGGGCUCAACUCGGAGAGGUCACUCGAUACUGCCAUGACUGGAGUCCGGUAGGGGGGUGUGGAAUUCCCAGUGUAGCGGUGAAAUGCGCAGAUAUCGGGAGGAACACCUAUGGCGAAGGCAGCUCGCUGGGACGUUACUGACGCUGAGACGCGAAAGCGUGGGGAGCAAACAGG
Molecule: ribosomal RNA, 254 nt
Filed under: uncultured bacterium
Lineage: Bacteria
Description: partial 16S ribosomal RNA
Rfam family: Bacterial small subunit ribosomal RNA
Source: RNAcentral